Oncorhynchus masou masou (cherry salmon) is the source of this 895-nucleotide long non-coding RNA. RefSeq lists it as uncharacterized. Lineage: Eukaryota; Metazoa; Chordata; Actinopteri; Salmoniformes; Salmonidae. The transcript has 6 exons. The record is from RefSeq and is a predicted model, not a curated record.
UACCAACCUGGCAGGAGUCGUUUAAAAAUAAACAUAUUAAACAGAAACGGAGAGGAGUAAGCUAUACUAGAUGUGUUUUCUUUCUUGGGAUAGAGCUAAAAGAGUUUAAGACCCUUUGUGUUCCCAGACAUGUCUAGGCCUAAUUCAAGUGGAAGUGAAUGCAGUCACACUGGAAUGAGUGUUCAUAUUCCACAAGAGUUGCCAGACUUUUUGCUGCAGUUCACCAAAGAUGCCAUCAGAGCUCAGCCAGAGGAUAUUAUUGAGUAUUCCACUGCGUACUUCACAGCUAUGGUGAAAGGACAGCCUUUUUCAGUGAAGCCAAAUCCUGAAACCAAACUGGAACUGACAAAUGAGAUAUUGGGAAUUCUACAUUCCCAGUUAUCUGAAAGGGAGACCGUUAGAAAGUUGGAGAUUGGGCUCAUAUGGAAAAGUUUGAAUAUGCCAGAGAAUACCUUGAACCACAUCCUUUCAAUGGGAAAGUUUGGUGAAGAAAUUGAAUGGAAUAAAUUCCUUGCUUCAUGCUGCAGUUAUCUUGGAAAGAAUGUCAAAGAUGCCUUGACUCAAGCCUGCUACAUAAUGAACUGCGAUUCCAACUGUAAGCCUCCAGAUGCAUGUGUGUCCUUUGAAACCUUCCGGUUUCUCUACACCUACCUGGCAGUUGGGAAUGAGAACAUCUCACAGUCGCAGAUUGACAGAGUUCUCAGCUAUCUGCAAAAGAGAGCGAUCUCGAACAACGGUGUGGUAAAAGUAUCAGACUUCAUUAACAAUCGCAAAUUGUGUCUGGAUCCAACUAACUGAUUCAUCUUUACAGGCUGUCAAUCAGGUCCCAUUGUAGUGGAAAUAAAUAUGAUUAUAUUUAACUUAGACUCGAAGUAGUAUUUUUUUCUGCUUUACA